RNAcentral lists this ribosomal RNA (222 nucleotides) under uncultured bacterium. RNAcentral's name for it is "partial 16S ribosomal RNA". It matches the Rfam family "Bacterial small subunit ribosomal RNA", at positions 1281 to 1500 of the family's 1533-position model. The record is from RNAcentral.
ACCGUCCCACGUUCGGAUCGCAGGCUGCAACCCGCCUGCGUGAAGUCGGAAUCGCUAGUAAUCGCGGAUCAGCAUGCCGCGGUGAAUACGUUCCCGGGCCUUGUACACACCGCCCGUCACACCAUGAGAGUCGGGAACACCCGAAGCCCGUAGCCUAACUUUAACGAGAGGGCGCGGUCGAAGGUGGGUUCGAUAAUUGGGGUGAAGUCGUAACAAGGUAUC